UACGAAGGGGGCUAGCGUUGUUCGGAAUCACUGGGCGUAAAGGGCGCGUAGGCGGCUUUAUAAGUCGGGGGUGAAAGCCUGUGGCUCAACCACAGAAUUGCCUUCGAUACUGUAGAGCUUGAGACCGGAAGAGGUAAGUGGAAUUGACGGUGUAGCGGUGAAAUGCUUAGAGAUCGGGAGGAACAUCAGUGGUGAAGGCGGCCAUCUGGGACAACACUGACGCUGAAGCACGAAAGCGUGGGGAGCAAACAGG
RNAcentral lists this ribosomal RNA (253 nucleotides) under uncultured bacterium. RNAcentral's name for it is "partial 16S ribosomal RNA". It matches the Rfam family "Bacterial small subunit ribosomal RNA", at positions 524 to 776 of the family's 1533-position model. The record is from RNAcentral.